RNAcentral lists this ribosomal RNA (245 nucleotides) under Massilia arvi. RNAcentral's name for it is "partial 16S ribosomal RNA". It matches the Rfam family "Bacterial small subunit ribosomal RNA", at positions 197 to 441 of the family's 1533-position model. The record is from RNAcentral. Lineage: Bacteria; Pseudomonadati; Pseudomonadota; Betaproteobacteria; Burkholderiales; Oxalobacteraceae.
GGGGGAUCUUCGGGCCUCAUGCUUUUGGAGCGGCCGAUGUCUGAUUAGCUAGUUGGUGAGGUAAAGGCCCACCAAGGCGACGAUCAGUAGCUGGUCUGAGAGGACGACCAGCCACACUGGGACUGAGACACGGCCCAGACUCCUACGGGAGGCAGCAGUGGGGAAUUUUGGACAAUGGGCGCAAGCCUGAUCCAGCAAUGCCGCGUGAGUGAAGAAGGCCUUCGGGUUGUAAAGCUCUUUUGUCA